AGCAGCCGCGGUAAUUCCAGCUCCAAUAGCGUAUAUUAAAGUUGUUGCAGUUAAAAAGCUCGUAGUUGAAUUUCGGGGUUAGCAAGUUGGUCGUGCCUUCGGUAUGCACUGGCUUUACUGAUUCCUCCUUCUUGAAGAACUGUGAUGCUAUUAAUUUGGUGUUGCAGGGAAACAGGACUGUUACUUUGAAAAAAUUAGAGUGUUUAAAGCAGGCUAACGCUUGAAUACAUUAGCAUGGAAUAAUGAAAUAGGACGUUUGAUCCUAUUUUGUUGGUUUCUAGGAUUGACGUAAUGAUUAAUAGGGAUAGUUGGGGGCAUUAGUAUUCAAUUGUCAGAGGUGAAAUUCUUGGAUUUAUUGAAGACUAACUACUGCGAAAGCAUUUGCCAAGGAUGUUUUCAUUAAUCAAGAACGAAAGUUAGGGGAUCGAAGACGAUCAGAUACCGUCGUAGUCUUAACCAUAAACUAUGCCGACUAGGGAUCGGACGAUGUUAACUUUUCUUGACUCGUUCGGCGCCUACG
RNAcentral lists this ribosomal RNA (520 nucleotides) under uncultured Glomus. Its description in RNAcentral is "SSU rRNA". It matches the Rfam family "Eukaryotic small subunit ribosomal RNA", at positions 569 to 1091 of the family's 1831-position model. The record is from RNAcentral. Lineage: Eukaryota; Fungi; Glomeromycota; Glomeromycetes; Glomerales; Glomeraceae.